GUUGGAUGGGUACGAGGGAACAACCUGGGCGUCAGGUAGGAAGGGUACAGGGGAACAAAUGGGGGUCAGGUAGGAAGGGUACUGGGGAACAAAUGGGGGUCAGGUAGGAAGGGUACGGGGGAACAAAUGGGGGUCAGGUAGGAAGGGUACGAGGGAACAAAUGGGGGUCAGGUAGGAAGGGUACGGGGGAACAAAUGGGGGUCAGGUAGGAAGGGUACAGGGGAACAAAUGGGGGUCAGGUAGGAAGGGCACUAUGGAACAAAUGGGGGUCAGGUAGGAAGGGCACUAUGGAACAAAUGGGGGUCAGGUAGGAAGGGUACAGGGGAACAAAUG
RNAcentral lists this long non-coding RNA (333 nucleotides) under Salmo salar (Atlantic salmon). RNAcentral's name for it is "lncRNA (ENSSSAG00000095389.1)". Lineage: Eukaryota; Metazoa; Chordata; Actinopteri; Salmoniformes; Salmonidae. The record is from RNAcentral.